AUAGUCAUUUUAGUUAUGACAGCGACAUGCCAUUUCGUUUUAUUUCUGUAUUGUUGUAAGUAAAAUAUCGCAUUUAUACCAUAAUCGCUUAAUUAUGUUAAUUGACUAACCUUAGAGUCAAACUGCUCGUCAAAACCACCUUUUUACUAGGGAGGAGACGGUUCGCGCUGGAGACUGCUAGCAAGAUUCCUGAGCAAAUGAACCAAUCAGAAGAUGGACCAUUUUCUAUGUUCACCAUUCAGAAGACUCUCUGCCAGAAGGUACCUAACAUCAGCGCACAGCUACCCCUUCACUGCAGAUAAGCUGAAGGCUAAAUCCUCAAUUGGAGUCUUUCUCUCUAUGGAUCUCAGCAUUUUUGGACAGAAUUUAGAAUAUUGUUGGAACCAGGGAUCUCUACUGAAGGACUGAGUACAUUUGUGUUUGUGGACACGCAUACAGACCAGGGAACAUUCUGAUGCUGUCAGUCAAGUUCUGAGCAGGAUCCAGUCUUCGACGAAGUUCAUUUAUUCCCAAAGGUGGACAAAAACAUUGUGUUGGCUUUUAAAAGGCUAUUUUGAUAAUGAGUUUUACUCCUAUGCUGUGGAAAAGAUGGAGGACUACAGACAUUGCUAAUAAGAAAUAUUUUUGGAGCAUCUUUCAAAAUACUUUUGGCCACCAGUGUACAUCAAUCCAGCAAAGUUUGGAAAAAAGUGAAAUGACUAUGAAGGUGGGGUUAUGUGUCAUGUUACUUAAUGACAUUUCCUUUUUGACUGCUUAAAAUUGUAUGCAUAUAUAUAUUCUGCAGUUAUAUGUAAUUGUUGAUAUUUCAUCAUAAUAAAUGUUUUGAC
Molecule: long non-coding RNA, 827 nt
Organism: Onychostoma macrolepis
Lineage: Eukaryota; Metazoa; Chordata; Actinopteri; Cypriniformes; Cyprinidae
Exons: 5
Source: RefSeq, a predicted model, not a curated record